GUAGCUUGCUACUGGACCUAGCGGCGGACGGGUGAGUAAUGCUUAGGAAUCUGCCUAUUAGUGGGGGACAACAUCUCGAAAGGGAUGCUAAUACCGCAUACGUCCUACGGGAGAAAGCAGGGGAUCUUCGGACCUUGCGCUAAUAGAUGAGCCUAAGUCGGAUUAGCUAGUUGGUGGGGUAAAGGCCUACCAAGGCGACGAUCUGUAGCGGGUCUGAGAGGAUGAUCCGCCACACUGGGACUGAGACACGGCCCAGACUCCUACGGGAGGCAGCAGUGGGGAAUAUUGGACAAUGGGGGGAACCCUGAUCCAGCCAUGCCGCGUGUGUGAAGAAGGCCUUAUGGUUGUAAAGCACUUUAAGCGAGGAGGAGGCUACUCUAGUUAAUACCUAGGGAUAGUGGACGUUACUCGCAGAAUAAGCACCGGCUAACUCUGUGCCAGCAGCCGCGGUAAUACAGAGGGUGCGAGCGUUAAUCGGAUUUACUGGGCGUAAAGCGUGCGUAGGCGGCUUAUUAAGUCGGAUGUGAAAAUCCCCCGAGCUUAACUUGGGAAUUGCAUUCGAUACUGGUGAGCUAGAGUAUGGGAGAGGAUGGUAGAAUUCCAGGUGUAGCGGUGAAAUGCGUAGAGAUCUGGAGGAAUACCGAUGGCGAAGGCAGCCAUCUGGCCUAAUACUGACGCUGAGGUACGAAAGCAUGGGGAGCAAACAGGAUUAGAUACCCUGGUAGUCCAUGCCGUAAACGAUGUCUACUAGCCGUUGGGGCCUUUGAGGCUUUAGUGGCGCAGCUAACGCGAUAAGUAGACCGCCUGGGGAGUACGGUCGCAAGACUAAAACUCAAAUGAAUUGACGGGGGCCCGCACAAGCGGUGGAGCAUGUGGUUUAAUUCGAUGCAACGCGAAGAACCUUACCUGGCCUUGACAUACUAGAAACUUUCCAGAGAUGGAUUGGUGCCUUCGGGAAUCUAGAUACAGGUGCUGCAUGGCUGUCGUCAGCUCGUGUCGUGAGAUGUUGGGUUAAGUCCCGCAACGAGCGCAACCCUUUUCCUUACUUGCCAGCAUUUCGGAUGGGAACUUUAAGGAUACUGCCAGUGACAAACUGGAGGAAGGCGGGGACGACGUCAAGUCAUCAUGGCCCUUACGGCCAGGGCUACACACGUGCUACAAUGGUCGGUACAAAGGGUUGCUACACAGCGAUGUGAUGCUAAUCUCAAAAAGCCGAUCGUAGUCCGGAUUGGAGUCUGCAACUCGACUCCAUGAAGUCGGAAUCGCUAGUA
RNAcentral lists this ribosomal RNA (1271 nucleotides) under Acinetobacter baumannii. Its description in RNAcentral is "bacterial SSU rRNA". It matches the Rfam family "Bacterial small subunit ribosomal RNA", at positions 75 to 1340 of the family's 1533-position model. Lineage: Bacteria; Pseudomonadati; Pseudomonadota; Gammaproteobacteria; Moraxellales; Moraxellaceae. The record is from RNAcentral.